RNAcentral lists this unclassified non-coding RNA (954 nucleotides) under Centaurea stoebe. Its description in RNAcentral is "external transcribed spacer". The stretch from base 905 to 954 matches the Rfam family "Eukaryotic small subunit ribosomal RNA", at positions 1 to 50 of the family's 1831-position model. The record is from RNAcentral. Lineage: Eukaryota; Viridiplantae; Streptophyta; Magnoliopsida; Asterales; Asteraceae.
UAUAUAUGGGGGGGUGUGUGUCUUCGGRCACACUUUCGAUUGGGCCAUGGUGCCCCCCUGCCAGGCAAAGGGAUGCCUGGGCAUGGCCACCCGGGAAAAUGCGCUUCACUUCUUGCAUGCCAGUCGUUUUUAAAAACGGCUGCGGCUCGUGUAUCGUAUUUUCCCCGGGAUCGGUGACGCUUAGAUGACGACGGCCCUUGACGGAUAUAGAUGAAGGAAUUGACGGAUAUGCAGAUCGGUUGCCUAUUGACCCUUGUCGGUACUAUUUUGGUUGCGCACGCUGAGGCCAGUAACUAGUCUGGGAAGGCUUGGUGAUGUAGGCUACAUCCCGGUCAUGGUGGGUUCGAUUGUGGUUGUUACUUUCGCAUCGUUCGGUGCAUUUUGGGGGCUGUUUUGGCUUUUCGUUGCUUGCUUGACCUUUUUUGGUUGGGUGGGUGGCUUCUAGUUGGGCGGCUUUCGGGAAUGUCGACCGGGGAGGUGCAUGAGUGGUGAUUGGUAUGUUACGUGUGGAUGGCUGUUUGCUCGCGCACCAACGUUCACGCUUCAUACCUCUUCAGUUUUGCGUCAAGACUGAUUUGUCUUGAGCAUGUCGUGGGUUUCCUGUGUUGCAUACCUAAUUGACGGUAACGUGUGGGCUUUACGGUUAUCUAUUUCGUCAUGUGUCGUUCAUGCGGCGUGGGAUGAACAAUGAAACGGCCUUUGUGAUCCACAGUGGUGUUGCGUUUGCAACAACGAUGUGGCCUAUGAAGCAUCGUUUGGUCUCUUGUAUACGGAACCUGAUGUGGGCAUGGGUCUUCAUAAGAUCUUCAUUAUGCCCUCGUUAAGCGUUCUCGCUUCUCCAAAACGAUUGCCUGCCAUGUUACGGCUUUGUUCGUUCAUGGUGGGCUACGUCGAAGAGGAAUGCUACCUGGUUGAUCCUGCCAGUAGUCAUAUGCUUGUCUCAAAGAUUAAGCC